CUCUGAUGAUGAUCCCGCCAUGCUAAUACUGAUGCGCCAGACUGACAGUGUCAGUGGGGGUGCAAGUGAGUUAAACUCACCUUCUCAUACUGACUGGUUCAGCGU
This 105-nucleotide small nucleolar RNA is filed under the name Salmo salar (Atlantic salmon). Lineage: Eukaryota; Metazoa; Chordata; Actinopteri; Salmoniformes; Salmonidae. The record is from RNAcentral.